GUUUCGUUCUUUAUUUUAACCACACGAUUCCUACAGAGCGAUCCCAAAUCUGAUAUAACGUUUAUGGGACGAUCUGCGUUAUAUACAUUUCCCUAAUGAAUAUCAUAUCUAAUUCUCCUUUCGUACGAUUCUUUUAGACAAUUUCAAAAUAACAUAGUUUAAAGAAAACAAAAGGAUUCUCUUUUUACAUGGUUUUUAGUCCAUUUUUUCUGGAAUUGGUAAAAGGAAAAUUAGUUGCGUAAUAUAUUUUACUUUAUGGUGUUUCUUAUUUGGAAACUCUUGUUAUACAGUGAUUUAUAUCGAAAGUAUAACAGUAUAUCGAAGGAUCUGUAUCCUUUUCUCGAAUGCAAAAUUUAAUAAUUCUCCAAGAUGAAUGCUGCCAUUCAUCGAGCUUCUGUUAUCUUUUUCUCCAAAGCAAAGAUGUGAAUAUUACUUACAUUUUUUUUUAUUUUAAGCAACUCACGAAUGAAUAUCUCACCGCGAACUUUCUCCUCUAACGCAGUUUUCUCUCUCUUUCUCUCUACUCGUAAGUUCAUUUCUUUUCACUAAUAGCUACGCCAUUAGCGAUUCCACUCGGUCGAAUGAAAAAAAAAAAAAAAAAAAAGGAAAAGAAAAGAAAAAACGCCGUGGCCAGUGUACAACGCAAAGCUUCGGGCUCGUAACGUUCAUACUUCCGAGCACGGCAGAUUCAUUUCCGCAUCGUUGCAGCCGCACGGUUUCAAUGUUUCAAUGCUAAUGUGCCUUUGGCAAAAGGACCGGCCGCUCUUAUCCCAAUUGCAAUCACAGUAUUCAAGUUCGAUAUUGGUACGCGUUUUAAAAUGACAUGCUGGCCGACCGUCUUUUAUAUCGAAAAAAAAGGUAACUUUUUAAGACACGUAAUUGAUUUUUGAAAAGUUUUUCGAUCGUUCGAUAAAAAUUUCGACAUAUUUUUAUCAUUAAUUAUAAUGAUAAAAUGGGAUAUACGAUAACCCUAAGGUACAAAAGUAACGAUUAUGGAAUUUUUAUAAUUAACUAAUAGAUCGAAACAAUGUUAUACAAGAUAUCAUAAGCAUUAUUAUAAACUGUUGUAAAAUAUACUUCCCCAUUCCUAUUUCAACGAUAUUUCAACACGAUGGCCGUUCUAUCUUCAUGCGAGUGUAAUACAACCGGAACAUUUAUUGCAGCGCAAAGUUUUGUUAAACACGAGUUUCUCGGCGCCCUAAUGAGUCGAGUUUGAAGUUUACCGGCGUCCCCGUACCUGCCGCGUACUCCUUCCUCAUGUAUUUCUGAAAACUAAUAACGCGCGUAUAACCGUACUUGACGAGCCUUUUAUCUCUGUGAACGAAAAAGUAUCAAAAUACCGCCAUCAAACUCACCGCGACAAUGCGGUUAUUGAAAAAUAAAAGAUCGACGUUUCUACCUAAAGUAGAAACGUCGGCUUUUCCUACUCUUUACGAUCGAUCAUUUUGUUUGAAAAGAAUGAAAAAAUCGAUGAAACGUGUUGUUUCACAAGAAGGGCGUAUGCGCUUAUAAAGGAUCACGCGUCCCACAUCUCUCCUCGUACGUCUCUCUCUCUCUCUCUCUCUCUCUCUCUAUUGUUACGUCUGAAACAAACCGCGUUCGAUACGCAUUAAUUAAUUUUAGUAAGAAGAGAGAGAAAAAUCCAUUAAAUAUGUAUGUAUAUUUAUUACACGUUCAUACUCGGAGAAUCGUGAUAUUGAUAUUGCAUAGAGAAAUUGGAUUCCACAUAUUUCCUUUCCGUGAUAUCACUCGAAUAACCAAUAUGAUUUCUGAUUUCUGACUGGCAAAACGCUGACGUGCCCGUUGCCCUCAGACUAGAAAAGUAGGUCAUUGCGUGAAAUAGGCAUAUCUCAUCGCAUCGACAAUAAAAUCGUUGGAGAAACUCGAACCAGUAUCGAGUCUAUCAAUCCUCCUACUUUUUGGCCUCUUCCUCGUCGAUAUGUCCUUGGAAAUAAUAGCUUUGGUACAUGGCUCGUAUUCGCCAGCGCGUCUUUUUUCCCUUUCCAAUUAAAUUCACUUUGUCCUGCAUAGCCCAAAACUUGGACGCAACCUACAAGCGUCUUUCCUUCGAUUUUGUCAAUGUCCAAAGAAGCGAUCUUGAUUCCUUCGAGUACUUUGCUCGAAUUCCGACUCGUGCAGUAUCGAAACUUUAAGGAAAACCGAAAAUCGAAUAAAGUAAUCUAAUUCACAAUUAACUCUUUUGUCCGACGAUACUCUAUCUUUUUCUUCGCAUCGUAUACAAAUUCAUGGAUCCAUUUAUACGUUAUUAUAAUUAUAAUCCAAUAAACGUUGAAGUUCCAAACAUGUCCCUUUUAAAUUUUCUCCGAAUCUUCAACAAUCUACACUCUUUUCGUAUCGAUAUACGAGCCGUAUUAAAAGAUUUACCCCGCGAUUAUAGAGAUUCACCGUUAAUUGUAGCAAUUUCCUUAUCGCCCUUAUUCGCCGGCCCGUUUCAGGUGAUUCUCAUUAAAGUGAAUUUUAAUGGGAUUAUCCGUGGCCACACGCCGGAGGGCUGCUGAUGCUUUAUCGUAUAGACAGAUACGACAAUUAGUAUGCGGUAGAGAAUUUAGCGCUAUCGAGCCAUGGCAUCGUUGUCGAGAGAGAAAGAGAGAGAGAGAGAGGGAGAGAAAGAGAGGUUUGGGAUGGGAACAUGAGAAGAGACAGAAUAGUGGUAUAGAGGCAGGAGAAGGUCUGCCAUUGUCAUCAUCGUCCUCCAUUGUACGGAAGUCGUCUGCUUGCCGUUACAUAAUAGUUGCACCAUUGUGUCAUUCGAUUGCAUAAUUCCUGUUACUUAGCCUGGCCGAAGUAUGGAUCCAUGUGAAGAAUGGCUCGAUGCAUUGGCACGCGCGUAUGCAUGAAGAGACAAAGAAAGAGAGAGAGAGAGAGAGAGAGAGAGAGAGAGAGAGAGAGAUGCAGGAAUGUUCGAACGAAACUGAAUCGAUAAAACGUUGUUGGACAUUAGUUGCAUUCUUAGUGUCUCUUUGACCUUAUACCCUACGUUCAUCCAUUUCUUUUUACCUAAUUUCGUACUCAUUUAUUUUUAAAACAAAACGAUAGAAAGAGUAUAUUAAAUGGCGUGCUAAAAAAUAAUAGAAUACUGUAUAGAAUAAUAAUUAUUAUCUAUUUAUUUUUACUGCCCUACUUUUCGUAGAUCUAUACGUUUUUAAUAAAUAAAGAAAGGAAAUUAGUGCUGCAUACCCAACGAUAAUUCUCCAUUAAAUGACACGUUACUCGUAUAAUAUUGAUUCCGUGCAAUUAAUAAUCCAUUUGGCCAUGAAAUUAAAUUAAUAAAAUUUGCAUUAGGUUCCGUAAUGCAUCAUGGAAGUCUGACUGAAAGUUACUUGUAUGUAAAAUGUGAGAAGAGAGAGAGAGAGAGAGAGAGAGAAAGAAAGAAUUAAUAUAAUUCACAAUAAUAUCAGCGAAAAGAAUCAAAAAGUAUAACAAAAUUUACUUUCCCGUUAAAUAUUUCAAGCAGACACUUCAACGAUUCGCAUUAACUUUUUAGAAGAAUGUAAAUUUAACUGUUGCUUUUGGAAUGAGUAAUCUAGUUAUGAGCAUUAUCGAAACAAUCGCGUCCGCGAGGACUAUUUUCCUUCUUUAUUCUUUUUUGGUCUUUCGAGUGCCUAGAUCAGAUGACAUAAAAGUACCAAUUUUCCUUUAACCUUCGAUGAAUCUGACAACGCACAUACCUUCGUGGCAUGUUUAAAAUUUCAGAAUACGUCCGAGAUGUUCCUUGAAUCUAAAGGCUUCUUUAAAAGGGACAAAAGAGAAGAAAAGAGAGAAAAGCAAGGCUAUAUCUUGAAAUAACGUCAAGAUUUUACGACACACUCUCCUUCGCCUGAAAUAUCGAUGUUUCCUACUUUCUCGUAUCCCUCGUAAAUCGAUCGUCGAUACGUUCAAAAAAAGCUAAAAAAAGCUAAAAAAAGCUAAAAAAAGCUAAAAGAAAAAAUAGAUAAGGGAGAGAGAGAGAGAGAGAGAGAGAAGAUAUAUCGCAGAAGUGACUAUCUCUAAUCAAGCAAAUCGAAUCUCCAAUUCUGAAAGCGAUUUUCUUCCGGAAUAUCAACAUCAAAUGAUAUCCUUUUAACUGUUAAAUAUUAUCUGGUAAUAUCAUCGAAUUACCUACAAUAAGAGAAUUUCUAUCACUAGCGCCACUGUCAUCGUCAUAAUCAUCAUCGUCGUCAUCGCCAUUGGCUAUAGCGGCCGGUAACGCACAAACCUUUUCGUGCUCUCUAUCACGUGCUGCGAGAUUUACACGUUUAAACGAGCGAUUAAGCUUAAUUAGAGAAUAUCGAACGAUUAUACACCGGUAAUGCGUUUUGAUAGGCUUCUACGGUGAUAGCAAAUUUCUCUUGAAUAUUUGAAACCUUGUAUGUACCGGGCCACUCUUCCUCUCUCCCACUCGUUCCCAAUCAUUCGGUGCAUUUGAUAUGCCAUGUGUGAUACGAAUUUCUAUAUGUACAUGUAUACGAGUAUAUAAUAACAAACACUCUCACACACGAGUGACCUCGUGGACGCGUGUAAAUCGAGAGAAACCCAAACGCACCGUUGAAUAUUUCGAGUUUGGUCGCGAUUGCAAAAUUCGACGGUUCGACGGUUCGACGGUUCGGAAUUGUUCUCGUACGACUGUAAUAUUUCGAAAGAAGUAAACGAUCGGUACUCGAUUAGUAACCUUUCGACCAGAUAGAGUCGAUUCGUAAAAACGUUCCGUUCGAUUCGUAAGAUCGAAAUUCUAUGAGAUGAUUAUUUUCAGAAUCACGAACGGACGAUCCGAUCGAUUCGGAAAGGAUCAAAGGUAGUAUCGCGCAUGUUUGCACGACCGUCUGUUCUAGAUAGCCUCAUAAUCGCGUAUUUGCCGAGAGGACCGAGAAACGUGUAACUCCGAACACCUCCUGAUUGGCAAACAUGCAUAUUUUAACGUUGUCCCAUGCUCGCACGAGCCAGAUAACACGCGUUGUUCGUAUCAAUUAUUCCUCGAAAUUCAACGCGUCCCUUCAGCCCCCUAACGCCUAAUAGGAAUGAGGUUUUAAUUGAAAUGUAAUCCCAAUUAAAACGAAUCCGCAAUCCACGACGCACAAACGCGUAUAAUCGCAUUAGAGAAAUGGAAUAUCCAGUCGAGUUCACUCAUUGUAAAUCCGUUGUAGGUGAUGAGAUGGUUAUGCCGGUGAAGACUGCUGUUGGUGGUGGUGCCAAUAAUGGACAAGGGGGCUGUUGUCGCUCGACAGCCUGAGCUCCGUUUACCGCCUUCGUGUUCGCGACAUCUUAUCGAGAUUAGAGAUCGGAAGUUGAUAAGCUCGAAUCUCUCGUCUCAAAAGGACGAUUCUCUUUUUGACUUGCGACUACGGUAAACAAACUUUCCUUCCGAAAACUCACAAAGUUUGAAUUUGAAAACAUUUAGUCGGUCCAUGAGAGCGAGCAAAAAUUUUUCUUUUUCUUUUUAGGAAUGGGUGGCGGGGGCGAAUAAGAAGUACAAAUUUUCGAGCUUCGUAAAAAAAUAGUUUAAUCGUUUUGUUCGUUCGAAUGAAGAAAAAAACCGAACGAAAGAAAAAAUGAUAUAUUUCCUCGAGAGAAUAAAAUCGAAACGUGAUUCUCUGUCUCAAUAUAUUUAUUUACUUUUCUUCCCUCGUCUCUCAUAAUUCUAUGCACUUGGAAUUUAUACAGUCUUGUAACAUGGCACCACUCUCACCGACGACUAUGUAAGUACCACAUAUAUACCUCGAUCGUUUUUCUUCGAUCGAAGAGCGACGACGCAUAGUAAAAUCUUUGAUCCGUCUGGCUAGUAACGAUUCUCCAAACUAAAAUCUCGUAGGUCUCUUCGGAGAGUGUUAUUAUCGAAUUUCUAUGAAGCGUUCCGUUUAACUUUUACAACCUCGAACCGUUCAAUCGUUCUAUCUUUUCUUUCUCUCUCCUUUGUAUUUCUCUCUUUAAUACUCUAUCGCUUCUCGCGUUCUAAUUGUGUCUCGUACAAAAACGCUACUUACUUUACAAUUUUUAUUUGGUAACUUUACGAAACGAUCCAAAUUUAUAUUGUCAACCAUUAAUAUUUCAAGAGGAACAGGAAAGAGAAGGAGAGAGAGAGAGAGAGAGAGAGAGAGAGAGAGAGAGAGAGAAAGAGAAUCGGAAAAGAGGACGAUGUAUGAUAUUUUCUUCGCGACAAAGUCAACCCUCCAACGAUCGAAUAUAUAUUAAAUCCUCUCGUCGACUCAGAGAAAGCAGAAAAAUUAGUAACACCGCCGAUACUAAUAUCUCGUUACAUAUGACAAGUUUUACGUACUAAUUAGUCACUUAUUAUCUAGUUAAACUUCCUAUUCCGUAGUGCUAAUACCUCCUUAUGUGUAUAAUUUUACUUUCUCUUCCUCACAGGCUUCGGAACAUUGUUUCCAGUUCAUUAAAUCCAACCACAAUUAGCACGGACAAAGGUUUAAAGCUAAUACGUAAUACUAGAUUUUCAAAACAUAUGUAGUAGGUCUUAUUCUCUUUCUUUAAUCUCACGCUCUUAAUACGUCUACAUACAACCAAGACGCACCGAUAUACUACAUACAUACAAAUCUGGCCUAAUACUUUUUAGUGGCAAACUUGCAAAGGUACUUUGUUUUCAGCGAAUCGCGUGUCAUAUGGAACGUCUAAUAUUAUCAAAGGGACAUUAAUUAAUUCAUUUAUUAUAUUAUUAUCUUCUCUCUUCUAUGUAUUUAUUUGUAAGCACUCAACAUACGGACAACAGCCGUCGCGAACCAGACCGUUUAUCUCUACCUCGAACGCAUAAAUAUACUAUAAUAUCUAUAUACUUCGGCACGAGGAAAUUUCGAGCACAAGUUUGUCGAGAGACGGCUCGACAACUAAUUUUUAUCACUUUAAUCCGGCUACCGAAUGCAUAUAUUUAUUCUAAUUAGCUCGGUAAAAUCUCGCUAAAACGUAAUAAAUUUUUUUCUUUAUCGUGCAAGCGUACACCGACGUGCUAUUAAUUCUUUAAUUACGUCUUCAACAAGUGAGAUAACUAACAAGAACAGAUGGGCAUUGUACAAUGACAAUUAAUAAUAGAUAAUAGUAGAAGUAAAGUUCCCGUUCGAACUUUAAAGCAUUUCCUAAUAGUCGCCCCGUUUCCUUACGAUCGUUCAUUCGAAACGUUGUGCUUCCUUUAUGGCGUCGCUCUUUUUCAAGGAUUAUAUUGUAAAUAACAUAAUCGAGAUUCCGAGGUCGGUAGAAAAAUCGUUUUCGAAAAAUUCGUGCAAAAGUAUAAAAGAAAGGUGUAAAGAAUUCGAAAGAAAAUAUUGUUCCGCGUUGUAGACGUAAAAUUGUAGGAUACUUUUUCUCUCUUUUUAUUUAUUUAUUUUCUUUUUUCUUUUUUCUCAAGCGAUAAAGAUUCUAGAUAAUAAUGUACGAUAUUUGUUUUCUCUCUCUUUUUUUUUUUUUUUUUCUUUCUUUCGAUUAAAAAGCGAUUAACAUGUUCGGCGAUACUUAUGCGGAAUUUCCUACGUUCGGUAAAUACGUCAUCUCUUUAUUCUCUAUCACAGAUGAAUGGAACAAUUAUCUUUUAUUACGGCGAUCAAUGAGAAUUUACUUAAUAUUGGGACAUACUUAAUAUUGGAAAAUUAAACGACGACAGACCAGCAGAAAAAAAAAAGGAAAAAAAAAACCAGAAAGAAACAAAAAGUAUCGCAUCGCAAAAAUGUUCGAUAACGCUAAUUUAAUCGAGGCUUUUCGCGUAAUUAAAUCGCAACAUCUUCCUGGAAGAUGGAGGUAAUGUAAUGAUUUCUAUAAAGUCGAUAAAUUGCAUUAGGAAAAAGAGCUAGGCGUGUAUCCUGCGCUAAGCUUGCGUAUCUUUUUCUCUUAUUCUUUUAAUAUGAAGAUCCUCUUUAUUAGAAACAUCUAAAAAUACUACCUUUAUUUUAUAUAAAACGAUUUCGUGGAGGCUUUAAUAUUGUGUUUGUGUGUGUCUGUGAUUUUUCGUCUAAAUAUACACCAUCCUUUCGUACGUAUGUACAAUCUUCCUUCUACUGUCUAUUAUGUUAAUCGGUUAUGAGACGCGUAGCUUUUGCAAAUGUAAAUAUGCUGCUCGCGGUUUACUCACGUUCAACGUUAAUUAUUGUAUCUGCGCGGCUGUACAUUUAACGAAUCAAGCACGCGAAAUAAUAUCGUAAAACGUCAUCUCUUGAAACGUUCUUAUCUUCAAACUGUUUCUAACUGCGCGAAGAAUUCUCGAUCGCCUCGAGAUCUUCACUUGCUUAUGAUUCUUAUCACAAAAUGUUCAGGCUUGGCUCGUGAUAACGAGUAUCAGUGUAAGAAAGCGAAAGAGGAAUGAAGCUCGGUGCUUCUCUAAAAUCUUUGCUACGUCUCAACGAUACGGGGUAUUCAAAGGAUAUCGUCAAGACGACCUUCCUCUUCCACAUCCCUGCUAUAGGAGUACUUCCAUGGAUUAUGGUUGGUACGCGCCUACGAUUCAUACCGUU
This is an RNA transcript of Vespa crabro (European hornet), 8444 nucleotides long. It is a transcript of the gene named insulin-like growth factor-binding protein complex acid labile subunit, with no coding region annotated. The record is from RefSeq and is a predicted model, not a curated record. The transcript is spliced from 2 exons. NCBI's taxonomy places the organism in Eukaryota, Metazoa, Arthropoda, Insecta, Hymenoptera, Vespidae.